This 3091-nucleotide small RNA is filed under the name Pan troglodytes (chimpanzee). Its description in RNAcentral is "retained intron". The record is from RNAcentral. Lineage: Eukaryota; Metazoa; Chordata; Mammalia; Primates; Hominidae.
GUCGGAGGUCCUACCCAACAGAUUGACGCGGCGUUAGUAUUGGCCGUGUACCCGAAAAACUGAUUGACUGGGCUGGCGUUAACUGUGCGGAGGCAGUUGGCCGUGUUUACAUCAGUGGUUGGAGACCAGACCUAACAGACAGGUGUGUCCUGUUUGCAAAGCUGGCAUCAGCCGAGACAAGGUCAUCCCCCUCUAUGGAAGGGGCAGCACUGGGCAACAGGACCCCAGAGAGAAGACCCCUCCUCGUCCUCAAGGACAGAGGCCAGAGCCGGAGAAUAGAGGGGUGAGGAACAUUCUAGGAGAAGCUUCUACAAAUGAGCUGAUGGCUUUACAAGUUUCCUUCUUAGCCUUACGAUUUUUCUCCUUGAUUAUAAAAGUAAAGGAAAACUUGUAAAAUACAGAAAGGAAAAGAGGGGGAAAAAAAUCACUUAUAACCACACCAAUCCAGAGGGAUUUCAAGGAUUUGGAUUUGGAGAUGGUGGCUUCCAGAUGUCUUUUGGAAUUGGGGCAUUUCCCUUUGGGAUAUUUGCCACAGCAUUUAAUAUAAAUGAUGGGCGGCCUCCUCCAGCUGUCCCUGGGACACCCCAGUAUGUGGACGAGCAGUUCCUGUCACGCCUCUUCCUAUUUGUGGCCCUGGUGAUCAUGUUCUGGCUCCUGAUUGCCUAAUGCUAGGCUCCUGCCUACAUCCGUGGCAGGGCUCUGGACUGGUGACGUGCCACCCCAACUCCUGGUGUUUGGCUUCCUGGCUAAUCUUGACUCCUAGAAUCAGUGGGAUCAGUAACACAUCAAGGAGUCUUGUUUCUUCAUCAGAGCUUUGGAACUCGAGACCAGUUGGCGAUGACCCCUGAAUAUCGCCACCGCUGUAAACACCCUAUAACCUCAGGCCUUGGCAUUGAGUCCUCUCUCAUGGGUGACACCAUGAAAUCUUGUUUCAGCCAGUUCUGCAGGUCCUGACUCUGCAGAGGGAAGAGGCAGAAAGAGAGAAACUGUCAGAGUAUAAUUUCACCUGAGUUUAAUAUUACAGAAACAAAGGGAUGCACCAAAUGGUAUUUCUGGAAAUUUUCAUGUCUUUAAAUACCCCUUGGUAAGUUGCCUCUGAAGCCAGUGGGGGCUCCUCAGAUAGAGAGGUUCCCCUUUCAAAUCCCAGUGCCGCUCUGUUCUCUUUCCUUCCCCUCCCACUCCCCCUCUUCUUCCUCUGUAGAGAUGCAAGAAAUUGCUGUCCCAUAAAAAUCAUAAUUGCAGUAGCUAAAGCUGGGGUCACUUCGUGAAUUCACCAGAGACUCAAAGAUCUUUUAUUGGCUCUGGGCUGUGCUCAGUGUCUUUGGCCUCAGAGAACAACUUGAAUGACUUCCUGGUUUCCUGGCAUAAAUUAUUCCUGGUGAGACAUGUGGCUUAACUCACAGGUUUCCCAUCAGCUUUCUCCCUAAAACUAUGUUCAUCUGCCUCUCUCUGCCAGAGAACAUACAGCCGAGAAUACUGCUGAAGCUGAGACUGACUACUGUGCAUUAGGAAAGACCUGGAGUCAGGACUUUGGUGGGAUUUGGAGCUCCGAGGCAGUAAUAACUGAACAAGCAGGCCUGUCCCCUAGGCUGCAGAAGCUUGAAUGCAUCCUCUCCCAGAACCUGCCACAGGAAACUGGGGGCUUUGUCAGGUCAGCCCAACUGCAUGCAGAAGACCACCAUCCUCAGAAGCCAAGUUGUCUUUUAUGAAGAGGCAAGGAAAGGGGAAACCCACAUGUGACCCUGAUUUUGGUAUGGCUUGAUAGAGUUCCCUGAAAACUCCUUGUAUGUGUGCUAAAACCAGGGAAGCAUGUGACUGCCAAGCAGGCAACCCCUGAUGAUUUGUAAAGCCAGGUGGCAGGGCCUGGGGAGCCCCAGCACAAUGAUAUUGUGUGGUCUUCCCUCCUGUGGAAUCGAGGGGAAAUUAUUCUUCCGAAUACCUUGAUUUGAUUUUCAGUUUCACAAGCUUCUUCCUCUGAAUCUUAUUGAGGGACUAUGGUACCAAGCAGGUAGGACUGUUCACCUGGUGGAACAGUUCUUGCUCUGCCUUCUAGGCUUCAUCCCAGAAAUCCAGCCUCUUUCUGGAGACCCCAAAGCUGGAGGGAGAUGGGCUUCCUCUGGGCCUCUCUCUUACUUUGCCAUCCACACUGCUCCUGGCUAACCCCAGCAAUAACCAACAAAUGGUAGGAAGCCCCACCUAUUGCUUUUUCUCAAUUAUGACUGCAUAGUUUGUGGAAACAAAGAUCUUGAGGAAGAUGAGGGAAGCCCUCCCCUCUUCAUAGUCCCCAUCUCUUCUCCUUUGUACCUGUCAACACCAGAGUUCAGUGUUUAAACAGACAAAAUAUAAAGUAUUGAGUAGGUGGUUCAUAUGCCGAAUCCACUUGGUAGGAAGAAACCACCAGCUUUAUAGUGUGCCUGAUAGAUUUUAAACAUUCCUGGGCACCCACUCAAGAGUGCUCUUUUUAUCACCUUCUGGAAAUCCCCAAAGUUGCAGGGGCCUCUGGAGUGUCUCUGCUCUAGAGAGAAUUGGUGGGACCCCCCUCAGUGCAGUGGCCCCAACUAGUGGAGGGAGAGAGGACUUAAGUCAGAUGGACUCAACAGAAAUGGGUUUCCAGAAGAAUAAUGAAAAGUUGUGGGUAGGAAAAUGAAUCAUUUGGACUCUUCAGUGAAAUGGAGUGAGCCCAGGAGAGCUCAACCAACAGAGGCACUCUGGGAACCUGUUAGUAAAGCCAGGCUGGCCAAAUGCCAUUUGAUUUUGAACCUUGUAGGUCCCCACUCACCCCCUGCCAGGAGCUAAGUAAGGCAGGAGAGCUGACUUGGGACUCCUGGCUCGGCCCCAACAGGGAGCCCCCUUCCCACCAUCCCUCGGCAAGCUCACCACCUGAUCCUUCUGCCAAGGCAGCUUUCCUUUCUUUUGUGUGUUUUCUGUGUUCUUAGCCUCCACCCUCCUCCUGCCACCCUUGUGGACUAGGACCAGGUCCUGACCCCAGUCAGAAAAUGAUGAUAUGUACAGUGGCACACCUUAACCAGUCACUAAUUUUCACUGUUGUGAAAGUGAUUUGAUUUAGAAUUAAACAAAUGGUUUUACAUUA